RNAcentral lists this unclassified non-coding RNA (252 nucleotides) under Perusta inaequalis. RNAcentral describes it as "partial internal transcribed spacer region". The stretch from base 1 to 46 matches the Rfam family "Eukaryotic small subunit ribosomal RNA", at positions 1786 to 1831 of the family's 1831-position model. Lineage: Eukaryota; Fungi; Ascomycota; Dothideomycetes. The record is from RNAcentral.
AAGUCGUAACAAGGUUUCCGUAGGUGAACCUGCGGAAGGAUCAUUAAAGAGAAAGGGUUAUUCGUAGCCCGACCUCCAACCCUUUGUUGUUAUAACUACCUCGUUGCUUUGGCGGGACCGCUCGGUCUCGAGCUGCCGGUCUUCGGCCCGGCAAGCGCCCGCCAGAGUCUACUCAAACUCUUGUUUUAACCGGUCGUCUGAGUAAAAAUUUUAAUUAAAUUAAAACUUUCAACAACGGAUCUCUUGGUUCUC